GUGGGCCGGGCACAGGUGUGGGUGGUAGAGCAAGGGUCUCUGGCAGCAGAAAGGGUCCCUUCAGCCUUUGCUCUCCUUGCAGCUCCCUGUGGUUUCCCUGCUCACCCCCAUCUUGGGGACAGCAGGUCUGUGAGCACCCAUUCCCCAGCCAGGCAUUGGAGCGCCCCACUCGCUCUCCCGCACUCCCUCCUGGAGAUGCCCUCUUAUAUCCCUGGAGCUCGCACCCCCCAGGGCCACAGGACUCCCAGUCCCCGCUUCAGAUACUUACUGAAGCAGCUGUGGCCCCCAGGCUGCCUCUUGCCAGCUGUCUGUCUGUCUGUCGGUCUGUCUUUGAGGGCUGAGAAGUCUCCAGGAAGCCAGCUUCCUCCCUCCGCCCCUCCUUGCUGCCACCCACGCACACCCCAGCUGCAUUCUGCCCUCCUGUGCCUGCUGCCGCUGCCACCAGGGGUCGGCUGCCUCCCACCUGUGCCCUUCUGGGGCCCAAGGCCCUGUUCCCUGGGAAUGGGUGAGGGGCCAGGCCUUCCCGACCAUCCUGCUUUCCCCAGCUUCCAGACCCUCUCCCCUCCUGCUGUGUUUCUCCUCUGGGUCUUUGUCACAUCCAGCCACUGCCUACUUGCUGGGCACAGCUCGCCUGACCCCCAGCUCUGUGCUGUCCCACAAAGAACCCAAGGCUCUCCUGCUCAACCUGACCUUGGCCGGAGGCUUAUUUCUGCUUCACUGCUUCUGCCUCACAGUCCUCUCCCUCAAAGCCCUUGCUGCUUCAAGCCUUGGGAAUUCAUGGCCAAGCACAGACCACAUCUUCCCAGAGCAGAUGUGGCACAGACUCGGGGUGGGGAAAAAGAGGAGGCAAGAAUCCACGCCUCACAAUGUGAAGGAAAGGCCUGGGGCCAGGCCAAAAAGGUCGUCUCCACGCCCUGUGCCACGGCCCAGCUCUCCACAGCCCGCGGCCUGAGUGUAGGCCAGCCCAGCAGGAAACAGCAGAGUCCACUUGUGGGAGGGAGUCUGAGGGGCUUCCCCUGGGCCCCCAGCCCCCUGCAGGCCUCCUCCCAGAGCCCUGACAUCUACUUAGAAGACUUACAGUGGACAGUCUCUGGCCCUCACACCAGGGGACUCCCAUGUUCUCUUCGCUGCUGGGGUGCCUGGAUGCCUGGGACCUGAAGGGUGGCCCCCAAGUCCAAGACUCCUCUGCCCACUGCCCCUGCCUGGCCUUGGCAGGCUCCUUGCGGGCCAGCAGCCCAGCCGGUUCAUGCUUGCUGCAGGCCUCCUUUUACCUUGUAACAUUUCAAACGCCCUUCCCUUCCCGGCCCCCAACACGCGCAAUCCACGUCCUCUUUCUUCCUCCCACUUCCCUGAUUCAGCUGUCAAACGGUGACAGCAAAAAAGAAAUGAGGGAUGCCUGGACAUCCAUGGAGGCCCAGGCUUGUUCCUGUUUGUGUGGGGGAGACAGAAACACCGAGAACUGGAUCUGGGAGGCCUCAUCCCAGAGGAAGCAGGGAGACAGCAGGGGAGACACGGAGGAAGCAUGCCCCUCCCUGGAAAGGAGUCCAUGCAGGGAGAGUGCAGGCCCACACCUGAACAUGAACAUCACCAGCCAGGGGAGACCUACUAGCCUCUUUCUGAGUUGGGCAGUCCCGGAACCAGGCGGCUUCAUCCAUGCCCUCUGCCUCACACGUCUGAGCCCCCUCAGCUCUCCUGAAGGGCAGCAGCUCCAGGCCCACACCAAAGCAUCCAGCUUUGAGUUCCAGGAUCUGGUGCCAGGGAGUCGCUACCAGCUGGAAGUGACUCCCCUGCGACCCUGUGGGCAGAAUGUCACUGUCACCCUCGCUGCUCGCACUGCCCCGCCAACUGUCCAUGGACUGCAGCUCCACAGCCCCGGAAGCCCAUCCAGCCUGGAGGCCUCAUGGGGUGAAGCCCCCGGGGAGCAGGAUGGCGAUCGCUUUCUCCUCUAGCACCUAGAAUCCCAGACAUUGGCACAUAAUAUCUCCAUGCCCCCGGGCACCCUGUCCUACAAUUUUGGAGACCUUUUGCCAGGUAGUGAGUGUAUUUUGGAAGUUAACACCUAGGCUAGCAACCUCCAAGCAAAAACCAGCCUCCAUCAGUGGACAGCCCCUGUGUCUCUAGAUCACCUGGUGCUGCAUACCCUGGGUACCAGGGCCUUGCAAGCCCAAGGGGGGCUGCCUGGCUCCACGUGGUGCUUAUAGACCUCCUAGGUGGCACCAACCUGACUGCAGUAGUCAGACGGGGAGUCUCCCAUCACACAUUCCUUCACCUGUCUCCGGGCACCCCCCAUGAGCUGACAUUCAGUGUUGCUGCUGGGCCCUAUUAGGCAGUGGGGCCCAAUGCCACAGAGUGGACCUGGGAGUAUCCCUCUGCCCCCCUCGACCUGGUAUUGACUCCCCUGCCCACCAAGCUCUGGGCAAGCAGGCAGGGAGGGCCAGGUGCCCUGGAUGGCUUCUUGCUGAAGUUAAGUGGGCCAGUGGAGAAGAAUAUCACUGUGGGUCCUGAAGCCUACAAUGUCACAUUCCCAGGGCCCCUGCCCACUGGGCACUAUGCUCUGGAUCUGAAGGUCCCAGCGGGGCCCUAUGGUGCCUGGACCCAGGCCAGUGCCUGGCUGGAUGAUUCUGCAGCCCAGUCCAGACAAGGCAGUGAUGCCAAGCUGCAGCUGGAUGGGCUGGAGGCCUCCAAGGAGCCCAGGAAACGGGCCCUGCUCUACAUGGAGGGAAACCUGGGCCUCCUUGGAAACAUCUCUGUGCCACCUGGUGCCACCCACAUCACCUUCUAUGGGCUGGUGCCUGGGGCCCGCUACUGUGUGGACAUUGCCUCAUCUCUGGGAAUCAUCACCCAGAGCCUCACGGGCCACACAAGUCCCGUGGCACCACAGUUACUCGAGGUUAUCAGCAGGGGCGGCUCCUCUGACCUGGCCAUUGACUGGGCCCCAGCACCAGGACAGCGGGAAGGCUACAGGGUCGCUUGGCACUAGGAGGGCAGCCAGAAGUCACCAGGCAGUCUUGUUGACUUGGGCCCGGACAACUCCAGCCUGACUUUGAGGAGUCUGGUGCCCAGCUCCUGCUGUGCCGUGUCAGUGUGGGCCUGGGCGGGGAACCUUAACUCCAGCAUUCAGAAGAUCCACAUCUGUACUUUCCCUGCUCCUCCUGCCAACUUGAGCCUGAACCUUGCCAUCCAGCCUCCUGCCCUGAGGGCUUCCUGGAGUCCCCCAUCAGUGGGGAGGGAGGACUUCCAGGUGCAGCUUUAUAGCCUGAGGCCUCUGACUCUGGAAAGGGAGGAGACUCUGGCUGCAGAGGUCCAGAACUUCUCCUGGGCCUAGCUGUCUCCGGGCACCGAGUUCCUGGUGCAGCUGGCCACCCUGCAGGGGCCGGAUCCGAGCAGCAGCACCAACGCCACAGGCUGGACAUGCCUGCUUGCCCCUCCUCUGGUAAAUGUGACGAGUGAAGGUCCCACCCAGCUCUGGGCAUCCUGGGUUCAUGCCUCCAGGGGCCGAGACAGCUACCAGGUGACCCUGUACCAGGCAGGCACCCAGGCAAGCACCAGCGCUGUGGGAGCCAAGGUGGCCAGCACAAGCUUUUUGAGUCUGACUCUAGGCACAAAGUACGAGGUGGAGGUUGUCAUGCAGGCUGGGACCCUCCACACUGUAGCAGCCAACACCUCUGGCUGGACCCCCCUGCGCCCACCCAGUGAAUUGUUGGUGUCCAGGCAUGCAAGCACCACUGUGGUCAGCCUGGCCUGGGUCAGCAGCCCCUUGAGGGCACACAGUCUCGGAGAAGGAAGGGGAUCCCAACUCUCAGAGGUGGGGCACCUCUCCUGGGAGCACCCCCGGUGCCAGGUCAAGCUCGCCUCAUCCUGAGGGGCCUCACACCUGGAUGCAACCUCUCCCUGUCAGUGCUGUGCCAGGCGGGGCCGCUGCAGGCGUCCACUCACCGCGUGGUGCUGCUUGUUGAGCCUGGCCCUGUGGAGGAUGUGCAGUGCCAGCCUGAGGCCACCUUCCUGGCCCUGAACUGGACGGUGCCUGCUGCGGACCGCUGGUGGGCACCUAUGUGGUGGUGGCAGAGCAGCUGGCGGCAGGAGGGAAUGCCCACCUCAUGGGCAUUCAUGUCAAUGUCAGCGUGUUCCAGGCUGACACCUCCAAAAAUGCAGUCCUGUUGCCCAGCCUGGUGCCUGCCACUUCCUAUCACCUCAGCCUCGCAGUGCUGGGCAGGAACGGUCUGUGGAGUCGGGGGUCACUCUGGUGUGCUCCACUUCUGCUGAGGCCUGGCAUCCACCAGCGUUAGCCCCAGCCCCUGAGCUGGAGCCUGGGACAGAAAUGGGAGUGAUGAUCCCGCAGGGUAUAUUAGGCAAGGAUGUCGGGCAGAUCCAGUGGUACCGCAUUAUUGCCACCAUCAACAUGUCACUGCCUCAGCCUUCCGGGGAAGCCAUCAACCACACGUGGCGUGACCGCUACUACAGAGGACAUGACUCCUACCUCGCCGUCCUGCUCCCCAAUCCCUUCUACCCGGAGCCCUGGGCUGUGCUGAGAUCCUGGACAGUGCCUGUGGGUACAGAGGACUGUGGCCACACCAAACAGAUGUGCAAUGGGCAGCUCAAGCCAGGUUCCCAGUAUAGGUGAGCCGUUGCAGCCUUUACCAGGUGUGGCCCUCCUGAGACCAUUAACUCCUUCUCAGCCUUCUCGGAGCCCCGGGCCAGUGUCCCCCCCGCAGCAGUGCCCCUGCCGGUAGUGGAGGGCCUCAUGGCGGGCUGUGUCCUCACCAUCUGUGCUGUGCUGGAGGAGGAAAAUGGGAAGAAUCCAUUUUCCCAAGAGCUGACAGCUUACAACCUGUGGUGGACCCACUGGCCCAUCCCUAUCCACAGCUUCAGGCAGAGCCAGGAGGCCAAGAGUGCCCACGCGCACCAGGCUCUCUUUUUGGAAUUCGAGGAGCUGAAGGAAGUGGGCAAGGAGCAGCCCACACUGGAGGCUGGGCUGGUGGUGCCAACACCACCAAGAACCGUUACCCACAUGUGCUACCCUAUGACCACUCCAGGGUCAGGCUGACCUGGCUGGACGGAGAGCCUCACUCUGACUACAUCAACGCCAACUUCGUCCCAGGCUACACCCAUCCACCCACAGGAAUUCAUUGCCCCUCAGGGGCCUCUCAGGAAAAUGCCGGAGGACUUCUGGCGGCUAGUGUGGGAGCUGCAGGUCCGCGUCAUCGUCAUGCUGACUGUCGGCAUGAAGGAUGGGAGGGUGCUGUGUGAGCAUUACUGGCCGGCGGACUCUACCCUGGUCAUCCGUGGUCACAUCACCAUCCACCUCCUGGCCAAGGAGCCUGAGGAUGAGUGGACCAAGCGGGAAUUCCAGCUGCAGCACAUGCGUGCCCUGAGGAUGAGCAGGUUGCCCAGCAACAGCAGCAGAGGGUGAAGCAACUAUGGUUCACCACCUGGCCCAACCACAGCAUGCUCGAGGCCCCCAGCUCCCUGCCCGCCUUUAUGGAGCUGGUACAGGAGCAUGCAAGGGCCACCCAAGGCAUGGGACCCAUCCUGGUGCACUGCAGGUCCCCCUCGUUUCUCGCGGAGCAGCCUGAUGCCCCUCCCCCUGGCAGAGCCAGUACAUCUUCCUGCACAGCUGCCUACUGAACAAGAUUCUGGAAGCGCCCCCCAACGUCUCUGAGUAAGUCCCAGCUUCCCUGUGCCUCCCACAGGCAGGCUCCCUGCUCCUGUUCGUGGGCAGAGCCGAGCAGACUAGAAUGGGGAGCUGGGGAACCUUGACUGCCUUCUCCCUCUUCAACCCCUCAACGAGGUCCUGGCCCAUCUCUGUGAUGAAAUUCAUGCAGGCUUGUGCCAAGAGGGCAGCCAGUGCCAACGCUGGCUUCUUGAAGAAGUACGAGGUACACUUCAGGCCAGGAAGUGGGUGACAGCCAAGGGCAGCCUUCCCCUGCGGAGCCAGCCCUGCAGUGGGACCUCCCAGCCUCAGGGCACUCAUCUCCUUCCCAGCUCCUGCUGCAGGCCAUCAAGGACGAGGCUGGUUCUUCCACGCCCCCUCCUGGCUGUAAGCAGGACAGCCCCAUCUCCUGUGAGUCUCACCGCGGACCCUGUGGAGAGGCAGGGGGCCAGCGUGGGCUGGGGGGCCUCUGGCAGCUUCACCCUCACUGUCUUCCAUCAGAUGACUGUUGUCAGGGACGGUUUUCUCCGGUGGAGGAGAACCCCCCGACGACAUGCCGGAAGCCUGGCUCUUCCCUGUGAGAUGAUGCUGGUUUUGCCACUGUUUCCUGCCCUCUUUGACCACCUGUACUUCCCAGGCAGGGGCUGCUGGGGGCUCCCAGAGUUGUGGGCUGGACAGGGG
RNA transcript from Piliocolobus tephrosceles (Ugandan red Colobus), 6331 nucleotides. It is a transcript of the gene named receptor-type tyrosine-protein phosphatase V-like, with no coding region annotated. The transcript is spliced from 26 exons. The record is from RefSeq and is a predicted model, not a curated record. Lineage: Eukaryota; Metazoa; Chordata; Mammalia; Primates; Cercopithecidae.